UCGAGAAUUUUUCACAAUGGGCGAAAGCCUGAUGGAGCGACGCCGCGUGGGGGAUGAAUGGCUUCGGCCCGUAAACCCCUGUCAUUUGCGAUCAAACCUUAUUAUUUAAAAGAUGAUAAGCUGAUAGUAGCGAAAGAGGAAGGGACGGCUAACUCUGUGCCAGCAGCCGCGGUAAUACAGAGGUCCCAAGCGUUGUUCGGAUUCACUGGGCGUAAAGGGUGCGUAGGUGGCGAGGUAAGUCGGAUGUGAAAGCUCGGAGCUCAACUCCGAAAUGGCAUUGGAAACUACCUUGCUCGAGGGUUGGAGGGGGGACUGGAAUACUUGGUGUAGCAGUGAAAUGCGUAGAUAUCAAGUAGAACACCAGUGGCGAAGGCGAGUCCCUGGACAACUCCUGACACGGAGGCACGAAAGCUAGGGGAGCAAACAGG
Molecule: ribosomal RNA, 428 nt
Filed under: Bacillota bacterium
Lineage: Bacteria; Bacillati; Bacillota
Description: Firmicutes bacterium partial 16S ribosomal RNA
Rfam family: Bacterial small subunit ribosomal RNA
Source: RNAcentral